GACUUUUGGACCUGCCAGAAAGUGACCUUCUAAACCUACCUGGAAGGCAGGGAAACCUAUAAGCCAGGUACCAGGGAGAAGACCUAAGACAAUUGCAUUCUGUCUGGAGGAACUUCCUGCAGUCCCAUAAAUGAACUUGAGAGAAAGCCUCUCCCUGUGCUUUCAGAGAGGCAGAGGACUGAGAUUGGGGGACAGAGGGUGAGGGUGGGAGAAAGUCAGAGAGACUUUGUUUCUGAGGCUGGUUUUUUAGUUCAAAGCAUGUCAAGAGGCUGGGCAUGGUGGGUCAUGCCUAUAAUCCCAGCACUUUGGGAGGCCAAGUUGGGAAGAUGCUUGAGCUCAGAGUUCAAGAUCAGCCUGGGCAACAUGGCAAAACCCCAUCUCUACAAAAAAAUACAAAAAUUAGCUGGGCAUGGUGGCAUGUGCCUAUGGUCCCAGCUACUUGGGAGGCUGGAGUGGGAGGAUCUCUUGAGCCUGGCAGGUCAGGCUGCAGUGAGCUGAGAUCAUGCCACUGCCCUCCAGCCUGGGUGAUAGAGUGGACCUUGUCUCCAAAAAAAAAAAAAAAAAAAAAAAAGACUUGUCAAGGCACCAUAUUUUACAGUAUAAGUUUUUUGUUUUUAGCCCUAAUAAUGUUACAUGAGCCUAAUUAUUUUUAACAUCUGCCUUUUUAGAAGGCAAAAGAACAAAUCUUUGUGACUUUAUGGGAGUCCUUUGGGAAAUCUCAAAGGCAGUUCUAUUUCUUUGUGGUUCUCAAUAAGCUUGAAGAGCACAAGGGGGUUUGGAGACCAAAAAUACUCCACUCCUUUGGGACAAAAUUACUCUUUUCCUCAAAAAAUGGAAAUACACAGCUGUAUUUGUCAGAAACUAUGGCUCCUAAAUAUAGCCAAAGCCACAUAUCCAUUAUAACUUUUAGCCAAAGUAACACACUUCUAUUUCACAGAGAGACCUGGAGAGUGGAUAAUUGUUCACUGUCACACCAGCAUUUUGCAGCAGACUAGCAGAACUUGUGAAUACACACAAUACAGCUUGCCUUAGCCACACAUAUCAUUUUUAUACACUCCCCAAAGUGGCAGAAAUGAGCAGCACAUUCAGUACAGACCCAAAGAGAUAGUCUUAUGAAAAUAAGAAGUAAAGGGAUAUAAACUUGAAAUUAUGAGUAGUAAUGAGUAUUCUAUCUUACUAUCUUGAAAUACUGUCUGUCUAUCUAAUGAUUCUCCAUUAAUUAACUCAACUUACCAUUGGUCCAAGGUUUUAAGUUACUUACAGACCUUGAAAAUUGUCCUGAAGCUGACAUACACAAAACAUAAUUAUUGUUGAAAUAAAGUUUAUCACAAUAAUGAUUCAGUAUGAGUAAAUAUAAAUUUAUAUUUAUAAACAUCUUAAACAUGAAGUAGAAGUAAGGCAAGCUUAUUCAAUCUAUUAACCUGUUUAAGAUUAGGAAAAACAUACCCAAGUAGCAUAAGCACCUACAUUAUAUUAUUCUCAUUCUCUAGUAAAUCAAAGAAGACAUAGGUAUUUUUUGUUAAACCAAUAAUAUUAAGCUUGUAUCAUUUGCCAAAAAUUUAUCUAAAUUAUGUGAACUUGAAUUCUUUUCUUUUUUUUUGAAACAGAGUUUCGUUCUUGUCGCCCAGGCUGGAGUACAGUGGCCCAAUCUCCACUCGUUGCAACCGCUGCCUCCCAGGUUCAAGCUAUUCUCCUGCAUCAGCCUCCCCAGUAGCUGGGAUUACAGGCACAUGCCACCAUGCCCGGCUAUUUUUUUUUUUUUUUUUUUUUGUAUUUUUAGUAGAGACGGGGUUUCACCAUGUUGGCCAGGAUGGUCUCAAAUUCCUGACCUCAGGCGAUACUCCCAUCUCGGCCUCCCAAAGUGCUGGCAUUACAGGCGUGAGCCACUGCACCCAGCUGAACUUGAUUUCUUAAAACAUUAAUUUGGUUUCUGCAAGAGUUCAAAAUAGAAAACAGAUAAACAGAAAAGACUAACCCACUAGAUUCUCUGCUAUCUCUCACCUAGCAGAGAUCUCUGUUAACUAUUAAUUCAUUUACAGAGAUCAUCAAAUAAUCAGAUCAUAAAAGUGAAUUCCCAACCAUUACUUCCUGCAACGGGGACUAACUUACUGACAGUAAACAACCCAAAACCAAAAAUGUAAAAUUAGUAUAGAGGAGAAUUAGAAUGAGAAAAACAGAGUGAGCAAGGUUUUCUUGCCAUCUUGGAUUCAAUUCUGUGAGCCAAGAAAAGAUCUACCUGGGCUUACACUGCCCAUGAAGUGCAUUUCUCUGCCUGCAAAGGUUACCUGGCUUUGGUAGGUAAAUCCACUGGGCAUUUCAGUGGAACUUCCAAAAUUGUUAAAAGAUAAUUUUCUAGAAAAGGUAAGAUCAGC
This 2372-nucleotide long non-coding RNA is filed under the name Homo sapiens (human). Its description in RNAcentral is "HSALNT0127353". Lineage: Eukaryota; Metazoa; Chordata; Mammalia; Primates; Hominidae. The record is from RNAcentral.